Molecule: ribosomal RNA, 322 nt
Filed under: uncultured eukaryote
Lineage: Eukaryota
Description: partial 18S ribosomal RNA
Rfam family: Eukaryotic small subunit ribosomal RNA
Source: RNAcentral
CCCUUAGAUGUUCUGGGCCGCACGCGCGCUACACUGAUGCAUUCAACGAGCCUAUCCUUGACCGACAGGUCCGGGUAAUCUUUGAAUCUGCAUCGUGACGGGGAUAGAUUAUUGCAAUUAUUAAUCUUCAACGAGGAAUGCCUAGUAGGCGCAAGCCAUCAGCUUGCGUCGAUUACGUCCCUGCCCUUUGUACACACCGCCCGUCGCUCCUACCGAUUGAAUGCUCAGGUGAGCCAUUCGGACUUUCAUCAUGCUGGUUUCCAGUUUUGAUGAAGGAAAGUCUUGCGAACCUUAUCAUUUAGAGGAAGGAGAAGUCGUAACA